This 972-nucleotide ribosomal RNA is filed under the name uncultured archaeon. Its description in RNAcentral is "bacterial SSU rRNA". It matches the Rfam family "Archaeal small subunit ribosomal RNA", at positions 85 to 1058 of the family's 1478-position model. The record is from RNAcentral.
ACUGCUCAGUAACACGUGGACAACCUGCCCUUAGGUUGGGUAUAAACCCGGGAAACUGGGUAUAAUACCCGAUAGGUCUCGAUUGCUGGAAUGCAUCGAGAUUUAAAGCUCCGGCGCCUAAGGAUGAGUCUGCGGCCUAUCAGGUAGUAGUGGGUGUAGCGUACCUACUAGCCUACGACGGGUACGGGUUGUGAGAGCAAGAGCCCGGAGAUGGAUUCUGAGACACGAAUCCAGGCCCUACGGGGUGCAGCAGGCGCGAAAACUUUACAAUGCUGGCAACAGCGAUAAGGGAACCUCGAGUGCCAGGUUACAAAUCUGGCUGUCGAGAUGCCUAAAAAGCAUUUCAUAGCAAGGGCCGGGCAAGACCGGUGCCAGCCGCCGCGGUAACACCGGCGGCUCGAGUGGUAACCGUUAUUAUUGGGUCUAAAGGGUCUGUAGCCGGCCGGAUAAGUCUCUUGAGAAAUCUGGCAGCUUAACUGUCAGGCUUUCAGGAGAUACUGUCUGGCUCGAGGCCGGGAGAGGUGAGAGGUACUUCAGGGGUAGGGGUGAAAUCUUGUAAUCCUUGAAGGACCACCAGUGGCGAAGGCGUCUCACCAGAACGGACCUGACGGCAAGGGACGAAAGCUAGGGGCACGAACCGGAUUAGAUACCCGGGUAGUCCUAGCCGUAAACGAUACUCGCUAGGUGUCGGCCACGGUGCGACCGUUGUCGGUGCCGUAGGGAAGCCGUGAAGCGAGCCACCUGGGAAGUACGGCCGCAAGGCUGAAACUUAAAGGAAUUGGCGGGGGAGCACCACAACGGGUGGAGCUUGCGGUUUAAUUGGAUUCAACGCCGGAAAUCUUACCGGGACCGACAGCAAUAUGAAGGCCAGGCUGAAGACUUUGCCGGAUUAGCUGAGAGGUGGUGCAUGGCCGUCGUCAGUUCGUACUGUGAAGCAUCCUGUUAAGUCAGGCAACGAGCGAGACCCGCACC